Molecule: transfer RNA, 76 nt
Filed under: Synergistaceae bacterium
Lineage: Bacteria; Thermotogati; Synergistota; Synergistia; Synergistales; Synergistaceae
Description: tRNA-Arg
Rfam family: tRNA
About the family: Transfer RNA (tRNA) molecules are approximately 80 nucleotides in length. Their secondary structure includes four short double-helical elements and three loops (D, anti-codon, and T loops).
Source: RNAcentral
GCGCCUGUAGCUCAGUGGAUAGAGUGACGGCCUCCGGAGCCGUAGGUCGUGAGUUCGAAUCUCGCCAGGCGCGCCA